AUCACUCUAGUGCGGCAAUUAAGAAAGUUAGUGAGGAGAGAGAACGCGCGCACAUGGUUUGGCGUGUGAUCACAGGAUGACUUUUAUCCCGCAGAGGAAAAGUUUGAUAGUGAAAGAAAGUGUGUCAGCCCGACCUGGUGCAGAUGCGUGCCUCGCAUUUUGGUUGAGGUAUUUUAAAAAAAAGAAAGAAAGAAAAAGACGUGCAAAGUGUGCGCCAAACCGCCAGUGAUGCUGGGUAAGUCUUUUUCAGUUUAGACUGUCUGAUGAAGAGAAGAUGAAGAGGAGGCUGAAGAGUGACAAAAUGUGAUGUUCCAGGACAUGAAGAGGAAUUAAAGCCAGUGAGCAGUGAAGCUAUUCUGGAGGCCUGAGGACUGAGAAACGGUUUCAUAGCACGACUAUCAGGCUGAUUUCUACCACAUUCAACCAUGCUGACAACCGGAGGGGAAACCACCUGAGCAAAGCUCAUCUGUUGAGAUGUUGCUGAGUCAGUUUGGGGUCAUGACAUCAUCAUCAUGAGAUGGGGAUGGGGGCUGGCGAGCAGUGACCGCAGGCGGCGACAGAAGAGGUGGUGCUCUGUGUUGUGGUUUGCAGCUGCCAGUUCUUGGCAUAAAAAAAAUGACACUGUGGAUUCGCCUUGGGGAGUAAUUUGCUCAAAUGUUGAAAGGAAGAACAAAUUCAAGAGGUUCGAAGGGGCAGUAAGUAAGAAUUUUAUUGUUGCAUCGCACCAAACGGCCGUAAAACACCUGCAGGAGGUUAGUAGUUUUGUUGAUCGUCCAGGUGUUGAGGUUUUUGGCUUUCCGGCUCGUGGGCUGUUUUUGGAGCACAAAUCUCCACACCCAGUGAAGUCAUUGUGAUGCUGUUGAAAUCCUGACUGGUGGUGAACACAGCAAGUAUCACACAAGUAAAUGAUUACUUAAAACCUUUUUUAAAGCUUAUUCAUUGACUCUGAGAUUUAGGCUUGCCUCUGUGUGAACGUCUGGCAUUCCCAUUUGCAUAAAAUAGCUUUUAUGUGCCGUUUUAUAUUAACAUUAAAAUCUGGAGAGAGAAAAAAAAAAAACAUACUGCUACCCUGCAGUUUAAGAAGUUCAUUUAGAGACAUUAAA
This is a long non-coding RNA of Scomber japonicus (chub mackerel), 1103 nucleotides long. RefSeq lists it as uncharacterized. Lineage: Eukaryota; Metazoa; Chordata; Actinopteri; Scombriformes; Scombridae. The transcript has 5 exons. The record is from RefSeq and is a predicted model, not a curated record.